RNAcentral lists this ribosomal RNA (497 nucleotides) under uncultured bacterium. Its description in RNAcentral is "partial 16S ribosomal RNA". It matches the Rfam family "Bacterial small subunit ribosomal RNA", at positions 28 to 507 of the family's 1533-position model. The record is from RNAcentral.
GAUGAACGCUGGCAGCGUGCCUAAUACAUGCAAGUCGAGCGAACGGACGAGAAGCUUGCUUCUCUGAUGUUAGCGGCGGACGGGUGAGUAACACGUGGAUAACCUACCUAUAAGACUGGGAUAACUUCGGGAAACCGGAGCUAAUACCGGAUAAUAUUUUGAACCGCAUGGUUCAAAAGUGAAAGACGGUCUUGCUGUCACUUAUAGAUGGAUCCGCGCUGCAUUAGCUAGUUGGUAAAGUAACGGCUUACCAAGGCAACGAUGCAUAGCCGACCUGAGAGGGUGAUCGGCCACACUGGAACUGAGACACGGUCCAGACUCCUACGGGAGGCAGCAGUAGGGAAUCUUCCGCAAUGGGCGAAAGCCUGACGGAGCAACGCCGCGUGAGUGAUGAAGGUCUUCGGAUCGUAAAACUCUGUUAUUAGGGAAGAACAUAUGUGUAAGUAACUGUGCACAUCUUGACGGUACCUAAUCAGAAAGCCACGGCUAACUACGUG